AUGCCAGACUCCUACGGGAGGCAGCAGUGAGGAAUAUUGGUCAAUGGGCUUACGCCUGAACCAGCCAAGUCGCGUGAGGGAAGACUGCCCUAUGGGUUGUAAACCUCUUUUGUCAGGGAGCAACGCCGGCUACGUGUAGCCGGACUGAGAGUACCUGAAGAAAAAGCAUCGGCUAACUCCGUGCCAGCAGCCGCGGUAAUACGGAGGAUGCGAGCGUUAUCCGGAUUUAUUGGGUUUAAAGGGUGCGUAGGCGGCGCUUCAGGUCAGCGGUGAAAUACCGGGGCUCAACCCCGGGGCUGCCGUUGAAACCGGAGCGCUAGAAUUCCGAUGCCGUCGGAGGAAUGUGUGGUGUAGCGGUGAAAUGCAUAGAUAUCACACAGAACACCGAUUGCGAAGGCAGCUUACCAAUCUAUAUCUGACGUUGAGGCACGAAAGCGUGGGGAGCAAACAGGAUUAGAUACCCGUGUA
This 468-nucleotide ribosomal RNA is filed under the name uncultured bacterium. Its description in RNAcentral is "bacterial SSU rRNA". It matches the Rfam family "Bacterial small subunit ribosomal RNA", at positions 328 to 792 of the family's 1533-position model. The record is from RNAcentral.